UUGAAAAAAUUAAUUGGGUAAUUAAUCAUAUGUUAUCUUACUAAUAUAUCGUGUAUAUCAAAUUGAAUUAUUAAUUUCAAAAGUUACUAAAUUAAAAAUAAUGUCUAAUACAUAAUUUUAUUUAGUGAACACUUAUUUUAUAUCAUGUAAAAAUAGAAAGAAAUUAAGGGGCAAUAAGAUCGAGCAGUAAAAGAGAAAUUUCAUGUGGCUUGAUGACAUAUGGGAAUCAUUUGCAAAUAGUUCAAUUUGGUGGCUAUAAAUUAAUUCAGUAAAUGGUGAGGACAUUCAACUUUUUCAUUCAUUGACAAAUUAACUAUCGAUUUUGGAGUUAAAAAAAACUUUUUGGAAGAUAAUACAUUUGCCUUAGAUGAUUAGAAUUCAGCCAAGGAUCGUUACCAAAGGACGUAUAAAACACAGGUGCAUACGAUUCGUGAAAUUUCGACAUUCCGAGGGCCAGUCGUUACAUACACAUAUGACCGUGAGCGAAAAUAUCUAAAAGCGAGUCAGUACUAACAGUGGCUGGUAAUAAGAUGUGACCUUGGCAUUGGUGAUUAAAUAAUAUGUUCGCAUGUAGCAUUGCGUGCGGUUUGUAGUGGUGAUGUCGGUGACAACGACUGGUGAAUGCAGCGUAUACACUUGAUAGAUUAAUAUUUCACCGGAUUUUAAAAAUUUAACAAGGAGAAUGUUGAAAUAUAAACGGGCAAAAGGAUAGAAACGUAGCCCGUAUUUCAAAAUAAACAGGUCCUGUGAUGGCGAAGAUUAAUAUCUUUGUGAUGGCUAAUAUUAUCUAAAAUUAUUAAACUGUAAUUAUAUUUUUUUAAAUGAUAAUAUUUUAGAGGAGAUUGGGGCAGAUUUGAAUGAAAAUUACGUUUUGAUUUAAAAUUUUUUUUUUUUUUGCAUUUAAUUUGAAGUAUAAUUAGGUCCUAUUAGAUCCUCAUAAUAUUUUAACAACACACUGUAACUAUUAAAAAUCCAUAUCACUGAAUAAUAUUUUAUUAUAAAAUGUUAAACACUAGUUACUUUUUAUUCGAAUGUGCCCUAUAGUAGGGGUACAUUUGAAUCCAUGCGGGGCACAUUUGAAUGAGUCUUUAUAUUAAAAAAUGAACACACAUAAAAUUACCAAUAAGUAAAAGUAUUUUAUUUUAAUAAGUUUUCUUAGUAGGUACUUAAUAUAAAAUAAAACAUAACAGUUUCUCUAGAAAAAUUAAAUGUAGAUAGUCGGGUUGA
Daktulosphaira vitifoliae (grape phylloxera) is the source of this 1227-nucleotide long non-coding RNA. RefSeq lists it as uncharacterized. The record is from RefSeq and is a predicted model, not a curated record. The transcript is spliced from 3 exons. Lineage: Eukaryota; Metazoa; Arthropoda; Insecta; Hemiptera; Phylloxeridae.